This 285-nucleotide long non-coding RNA is filed under the name Mytilus galloprovincialis (Mediterranean mussel). The record is from RNAcentral. Lineage: Eukaryota; Metazoa; Mollusca; Bivalvia; Mytilida; Mytilidae.
AAAAGACUUUAUGAUUGAAUCCAUAUUGAUACCAUAUAUUAUUAAAACUACAAAACUGUAUAUUACAAUUGCAAAUUAGAAAAAAAUCUUAUGCUAACUACUGUAAACCAACAUAUUUUCGCGGGCAAAUAAUUUUCCUAACUUUGGCGAGUAGAAUAAUAUCUCGAAUACAAAUCGUCGCGAAUAUGUAAAACUAAUGAUUUCUUACUUAACUACAUAAAGUACAUUCGAGAAUUGUAAAAUUGAAUUGCUGCAAAAUGGAAUAGACAGGGCUAAACUCGAAAA